CCGAGCUCAAAAGCCUGAGAGCCAGGAGAACAUCGCACCGGCCGUGGUGCGGGAAGGUCGGCUCUCUGUGAGGCUGACAGGAACGCAACACACCAUUUUCCAUCUGGUCUGGGCCAGGGAAGCAGAGGUCAAGGAUCAUCAAUGCCAGAGGGAGGAAGAAAUUGGAGGAAGAGAGGAAGAGAGGCUGAGGGGGGAGGAAGAGGAACAGAGAUAGCGGAGCGCACGACUGAAAAAGAGAGACGGCAAGAGAGGGACAGAGAGAUAGAUGGGGAAGAAAGAAGGAGGGAGAGAGGGAGAAAGGAAAGCAAUUAUAAGGGAGGGACAAUAUAUCUGUCCAGAAAACCUCUUGAAAAAUAGCCUUCUGUCUCCGUAAUUAUAGGGAGACCCCACAGCCAGUGAAACCAGUGAGAGGAUAAGCAUUCCAGCCCAGCUGUCUCUCCAAAGGAAGAGGGUGAUCGCUAAAACAAACGCCCACAACUUCUACGUCACACACUUGUGUCAUCCUCUGAGCUGGGUUGCUGGGAUAUUUUUAGCAUCCUCCUGAAGGACCGAGCCGGGCUCUGAAAACAGUCUUUGUGGCUCUCCAUGUGGGGGCGGAAGAAGAAGUAGACUCAUGAAUUGUGAUGCCCAUGUGAAUUUUAAUGGGAACACAAAAGGGGCGGAGAACUCAGCAAGGCAAGAGCAUGCACAGCAUCGCUGGCCCACAAUGAGACCUGAGAGAAGCGCUUAUCAGUUAAUCAAUGAAAUAUGAAUCAAUAAUUAAAC
This is a non-coding RNA of Electrophorus electricus (electric eel), 765 nucleotides long. Lineage: Eukaryota; Metazoa; Chordata; Actinopteri; Gymnotiformes; Gymnotidae. The record is from RefSeq and is a predicted model, not a curated record.